UAAAACCCUAAGGCACUAUCAUUUCAAAAG
Molecule: non-coding RNA, 30 nt
Filed under: Mus musculus (house mouse)
Lineage: Eukaryota; Metazoa; Chordata; Mammalia; Rodentia; Muridae
Source: RNAcentral